RNAcentral lists this ribosomal RNA (254 nucleotides) under uncultured bacterium. Its description in RNAcentral is "partial 16S ribosomal RNA". It matches the Rfam family "Bacterial small subunit ribosomal RNA", at positions 524 to 776 of the family's 1533-position model. The record is from RNAcentral.
UACGUAGGGUGCAAGCGUUAAUCGGAAUUACUGGGCGUAAAGCGCGCGCAGGCGGAUCCUGUAAGUCUGGAGUGAAAUUUCACCGCUCAACGGUGAAGCUGCUUUGGAUACUGCGGAUCUGGAGACCGGUAGAGGCUGGUAGAAUUGCAGGUGUAGCGGUGGAAUGCGUAGAGAUCUGCAAGAAUACCUGUGGCGAAGGCGGCCAGCUGGGCCAGGUCCGACACUGAGGCGCGAAAGCGUGGGGAGCAAACAGG